GACGAACGCUGGCGGCGUGCUUAACACAUGCAAGUCGAGCGGUAAGGCCCUUUCGGGGGUACACGAGCGGCGAACGGGUGAGUAACACGUGGGUGACCUGCCCUCAGCUCUGGGAUAAGCCUGGGAAACCGGGUCUAAUACUGGAUAUGACUCCAUGACGCAUGUUGUGGGGUGGAAAGCCUUGUGCGGCUGAGGAUGGGCCCGCGGCCUAUCAGCUUGUUGGUGGGGUGANGGCCUACCAAGGCGACGACGGGUAGCCGGCCUGAGAGGGCGACCGGCCACACUGGGACUGAGACACGGCCCAGACUCUUACGGGAGGCAGCAGUGGGGAAUCUUGCGCAAUGGGCGAAAGCCUGACGCAGCGACGCCGCGUGAGGGAUGACGGCCUGGUGUAAC
This 396-nucleotide ribosomal RNA is filed under the name uncultured bacterium. RNAcentral's name for it is "bacterial SSU rRNA". It matches the Rfam family "Bacterial small subunit ribosomal RNA", at positions 28 to 429 of the family's 1533-position model. The record is from RNAcentral.